ACCUUCCUUGUCUGGGGGUGGAUUGGGCGGUUCAAUGAACGUAUAGUGAGAACAGCCCUGCUGACACCUAACCAACACAAUCCGCAUCACCUGAACUUUCACGUUUGGGCUAUGGUGCAAUUUUUGGAACC
Molecule: small nuclear RNA, 131 nt
Organism: Cyprinus carpio carpio
Lineage: Eukaryota; Metazoa; Chordata; Actinopteri; Cypriniformes; Cyprinidae
Source: Ensembl